This 221-nucleotide long non-coding RNA is filed under the name Rattus norvegicus (Norway rat). Its description in RNAcentral is "long non-coding RNA NONRATT003200". Lineage: Eukaryota; Metazoa; Chordata; Mammalia; Rodentia; Muridae. The record is from RNAcentral.
GAUGCUGAGCUGUACGGACCCUUUACCAGUGCCCAGAUGCAGUUCUACAAUUCCAAGCGCAUUGAUUUUGAUCUCUACACAUGAGCCCGCUAAGGGCCCCGUUUGGCAGCCCCUUCUUUCUUGAACUUGGCAGAGGAGGUCCCAACUGCCCUGGGCAGUGAGGAUAUUGGAGGCCACUCUAAAGCCAGUGUCUCUUUGUCAAUAAAAGCCUUGAGUAUGCA